UCUAAGCACAAGCCUAAGAAUGGUAAAGCCGCGAAUGGCUCAUUACAACAGCCAUAGUUUACUGGAUCUUACUUUCCUACUUGGAUAACUGUGGUAAUUCUAGAGCUAAUACACGCAUGAAAGCUCUGACCGUUCGGGAGGAGCGCAUUUAUUAGAACAAAACCAAUCGGGCCUUCGGGCCCGCCAAUUGGUGAAUCUGAAUAACUUUGCAGAUCGCACGGUCUCGUACCGGCGACGUAUCUUUCAAAUGUCUGCCUUAUCAACUUUAGAUGGUAGUUUACACGCCUACCAUGGUUGUAACGGGUAACGGAGAAUAAGGGUUCGACUCCGGAGAGGGAGCCUGAGAAAUGGCUACCACA
Molecule: ribosomal RNA, 359 nt
Filed under: Nematoda environmental sample
Lineage: Eukaryota; Metazoa; Nematoda
Description: SSU rRNA
Rfam family: Eukaryotic small subunit ribosomal RNA
Source: RNAcentral